GGCGAAAGCCCCACCAUCCAUCCGCUCUGCCUCCAUCUCCCUCAUUCUGAAUGGACGCUUCCUUCCUUGGUGUAACUCUCCCAGCCAGGUGGAGGGCUGAAAGGCUGCCUCCAUCAAGUAAUUAUGCUAAUACGUGAUAAAUGCCCUAACAGAUAUAGGUAAGGAACUCCGGGAGCACAGAGAAGGGUAUGGUUAAUCCUGCCUGGGAUGGUGAGCAGGAAUUUCACAGAGGAAGAUAUAGUCAAGG
This 247-nucleotide long non-coding RNA is filed under the name Zalophus californianus (California sea lion). RNAcentral describes it as "lncRNA (ENSZCAG00015000313.1)". The record is from RNAcentral. Lineage: Eukaryota; Metazoa; Chordata; Mammalia; Carnivora; Otariidae.